This 274-nucleotide ribosomal RNA is filed under the name uncultured bacterium. Its description in RNAcentral is "partial 16S ribosomal RNA". It matches the Rfam family "Bacterial small subunit ribosomal RNA", at positions 523 to 796 of the family's 1533-position model. The record is from RNAcentral.
AUACGGAGGGUGCAAGCGUUAAGCGGAAUUACUGGGCGUAAAGCGUACGUAGGCGGUUGGUUAAGUUAGAUGUGAAAGCCCCGGGCUUAACCUGGGAACUGCAUUUAAAACUGGCGAACUAGAGUUGAGUAGAGGGGAGUGGAAUUUCAGGUGUAGCGGUGAAAUGCGUAGAGAUCUGAAGGAACACCAGUGGCGAAGGCGACUCCCUGGACUCGAACGGACGCUGAGGUACGAAAGCGUGGGUAGCAAACGGGAUUAGAUACCCUAGUAGUCC